This 433-nucleotide ribosomal RNA is filed under the name uncultured bacterium. RNAcentral describes it as "partial 16S ribosomal RNA". It matches the Rfam family "Bacterial small subunit ribosomal RNA", at positions 29 to 507 of the family's 1533-position model. The record is from RNAcentral.
AACGAACGCUGGCGGCAUGCCUAACACAUGCAAGUCGAACGAGACCUUCGGGUCUAGUGGCGCACGGGUGCGUAACGCGUGGGAACCUGCCCUUAGGUUCGGAAUAACUCCCCGAAAGGGGUGCUAAUACCGGAUAAUGUCUUCGGACCAAAGAUUUAUCGCCUUUGGAUGGGCCCGCGUUGGAUUAGCUAGUUGGUAGGGUAAAAGCCUACCAAGGCGACGAUCCAUAGCUGGUCUGAGAGGAUGAUCAGCGACACUGGGACUGAGACGCGGCCCAGACUCCUACGGGAGGAGGCAGUGGGGAAUAGUGGACAACGGGCGAAGGCCUGAUCCAGCAAUGCCGCGUGAGUGAUGAAGGCCUUAGGGUUGUAAAGCUCUUUUACCCGGGAUGAUAAUGACAGUACCGGGAGAAUAAGCCCCGGCUAACUCCGUG